This 122-nucleotide ribosomal RNA is filed under the name Cyprinus carpio (common carp). The record is from RNAcentral. Lineage: Eukaryota; Metazoa; Chordata; Actinopteri; Cypriniformes; Cyprinidae.
GCUUACGGCCAUACCACCCUGAGCGCGCCCGAUCUCGUCUGAUCUCGGAAGCUGAGCAGGGUCGGGCCUGGUUAGUACUUGGGUGGGAGACCGCCUGGGAAUACCAGGUGCUGUAAGCUUUU